This is a non-coding RNA of Rhodofomes roseus, 88 nucleotides long. The record is from the annotation of a RefSeq genome assembly. NCBI's taxonomy places the organism in Eukaryota, Fungi, Basidiomycota, Agaricomycetes, Polyporales, Fomitopsidaceae.
AGCAACUUGACGCAGUGGAAGCGUGCAGGGCUCAUACGAUCAUGUGGUUGAUACCCUGAAGUCCCUGGAUCGAAACCAGGAGUUGCUA